RNAcentral lists this long non-coding RNA (414 nucleotides) under Carica papaya (papaya). RNAcentral's name for it is "long non-coding RNA (CPAP_LNC013302)". The record is from RNAcentral. Lineage: Eukaryota; Viridiplantae; Streptophyta; Magnoliopsida; Brassicales; Caricaceae.
UAAUGAGUAAAUAAUAGGGAGGGAACACCGACCCAAGAAUAGAAAGAGGACAUCAAGCUCUGUUACUAUAUUGAAUGCUAGAGUUAAACAAAUUUUUAUAAAAGCUUAAACUUGUUCAAGCCUUAUAUAGCUAUUUCUUUAAGGAUAAGUCAGCCACUGCAAUUUCUCCCAGAAGCAAACAGAAACAUUCUCUCUUUAAAGAAGCCAAAAAGCUGCACAGCACGCUUGCGUUUAAAACUAUAACCUAAGUGUGCCACUCUCAUAAAAGAAAAAAAGAUUUGCCACUCUGAUCUACCAACCGUGCUAUGUCAUAUGGUAAUACUCAAAAUUCAUAGAAUGUGAGAGAAGUAAAGAGUAUAUGUAAGUGGGAACAAGAAAUGAAGAUGUAUUCCUUCUCCUGCAAAAGAUAGCUUA